CACACUUCCCAGCUGUUGGCUAAGAUCAAGUGCAUCAUCUUUUCUUAUAGCUUUAAUAUCUGAUACAUCCUCAGUUUGAAGCUUUUAUAUUAAAUGGAUUUGGAGGUCAUGGGAAGGAGUAACCAUUUCCUUCAUCCACACUAUGCAUCAACCCAAAAAUGCAGCGCUUCCAGGUACUGUUGCAGCAUCA
This 190-nucleotide small nuclear RNA is filed under the name Pterocles gutturalis (yellow-throated sandgrouse). RNAcentral describes it as "U2 spliceosomal RNA". It matches the Rfam family "U2 spliceosomal RNA". From Rfam's summary of the family: U2 is a small nuclear RNA (snRNA) component of the spliceosome (involved in pre-mRNA splicing). Complementary binding between U2 snRNA (in an area lying towards the 5' end but 3' to hairpin I) and the branchpoint sequence (BPS) of the intron results the bulging out of an unpaired adenosine, on the BPS, which initiates a nucleophilic attack at the intronic 5' splice site, thus starting the first of two transesterification reactions that mediate splicing. Lineage: Eukaryota; Metazoa; Chordata; Aves; Pterocliformes; Pteroclidae. The record is from Rfam by way of RNAcentral.